This 1161-nucleotide ribosomal RNA is filed under the name Triticum aestivum (bread wheat). RNAcentral describes it as "partial small subunit ribosomal RNA". The record is from RNAcentral. Lineage: Eukaryota; Viridiplantae; Streptophyta; Magnoliopsida; Poales; Poaceae.
AUGCCGAUGCCGGCGAUCAUGGACGACCUCCUGCCGGAGUUCUUCAUCCGCCUGCCCACCCCUGAGGACCUCGCCCGCGUCACCGCCACCUGCUCCUCCUUCCGCCAAGCCGCCACCGACCGCGCCUGCACCCGCGAAUUCCGCAGGCUCCACGCCCCUCCGCUCCUCGGCAUCGUCGACGGCGCCGGCUUCCACCCCGCCCUCCCGCCCCACCCCUCCGCGCCCGCCGGGAGCGCCCUCGCAAACGCCCCCGGCAAGGACUUCUCAUUCUCCUUCCUGCCCGCCCCCAACCGCUGGGUCAUGAAGGACGCCAGCGACGGCCGCGUCCUCCUCGACCGGGCUCCCGAGGGCGUCAAGAAGGCGGAGUUUACGGAGGUCGUCGUGUGCGACCCCCUGCACCAGCGAUACCUCCUGCUCCCCCCGGUCCCUCAAGACCAGCUGGUGGCGAACCCGGUGUGUAUGGCAUACGGGCCCUUCCUCGCUCCCCCCAGCGACGAGGAGGCGGAGGAGGCGCCAGACACGUCAUUCCGAGUGAUGUGGACAGCGCGCUGCGAGGCUAACAUGGUCGCCUUCGUCUUCUCGUCCAGCUCCGGGCAAUGGCGGGCGGUCCCGUCCCAGAGCUGGAGCGAUCUGUUCGCCGUCGACAUUGAGCUUUCAUGGGGGCCUUGCUUGGUCGGGCGCCACUACGCCCAUGGCUGCUUCUACUGGGAAACGAGUUGUCGGGGAAUGUGGCUCGUGCUCCACGCCCGGACCAUGGACUUCUCCCUUGUCGACAUUCCAUGCACAGCCGGAGGUGCUGGGCUAGACACAGCCAUCGUGGAGGCAGGGGAAGGCAGGCUUGGGAUGUUCGCGCUUGCAUUUGUAGGUGGCGUAUAUUACCUCCACUACACCAUUAGGGAAGCAGACAACCAGUGGAAGCUGAAGCAGACAGUGGCGCUGCGUUAUGGGUACUGGUAUUGCAUCCUCGGUGCAACGGAUGCCUACUUGCUCCUGUUAAAGCAUGCUGACAACCGGUCAUUGGAGCCGGCAGAUUGCGAAUGCCUCUCACUGGACAUCAAGACGAUGCGCCUUGAAAGGGUGUGCUCGUUGAAGCAAUGGGGCGUAGAUGCACAAAUAUAUACCAACUUCCCACCAUCGUUGCUGUCAGCCCCGACAAUUUGA